Long non-coding RNA from Gadus morhua (Atlantic cod), 1551 nucleotides. RefSeq lists it as uncharacterized. The transcript has 2 exons. The record is from RefSeq and is a predicted model, not a curated record. NCBI's taxonomy places the organism in Eukaryota, Metazoa, Chordata, Actinopteri, Gadiformes, Gadidae.
UCACCAUGGGUCUAUAGAGGGGAUACUGGGACCGAGAAUAGACAUCCUGGACACAGAGGGGUCUUAAUUGACCCGGACCCCCAAGUGGUCAGAGGUGGAGAGCUUGAAUCCAUUACUUUAGGUACCAAUCACCACCGAUGUACCCAUGUGUGGGUGUGUGUGUGUGUGUGUGUGCGUGUGUGUGGGGAGGGGGGGUUCUGUGCGUCUUCUUCUUUGCUAGAAUGUUAACUUGUGUUUAAAGCUGCCAUAAGUACGAUGAGAGAGAGUUGUUCAUUGACACUAAACAGCCAUGAGGACGACCGCCCCGGCGCCACGCGCCCCAGGUAUUCUCUCGGAGCGUUUCCCCCACUCAUAGUGGACCGAUGGGUACAGUGUUUCCAACCUACAACGACUCCAACGACUGCUCCAAACCCCUCCCUGCAGCCCAGGUUACGUAACCACACCCCCACAUUACCCACAAUCCCCCAGAAUGGAACUGGCCAACACUGCCAGAAGCUCAGAGGAUACCAGAGGCACCACAAGCAGGAAAAACAGAACCCCCCCCCCCCGGUCAGACUCCACCAGGCUGGCAGCCAGUCCGAAGCCUUUGUCUGUUUUUUCCGGAGCGCCGCGGGAGGAAAGGCAUUCCACGCUGGAAGUGUCCCGCUGGAACCAGGGAACGUUUGUUUGGGUCCGUCUUCCUCUGCCAUUGUUUUGGCGGCGAACUUUGCUCUGGCCAGCGUUGAAACGGCCAUUGUGUUGACCAUAUACUGGGUGGAAAUGUAUUUAGAGUCCAUGGUUCGCCGACAGAGUUCGAUAUUUAUAGUGUGGUGAACGACAGGUCCCCUAGGGGGCGCGUGUCUCUGUAGCCUCUGCUCUCAUUGGUCCAGCUCCAGUUAUUGCUUGUGAUGUUGAGUAUGCUCUCUAUGCUCAUUUUAAUCUUUCCUGGCCUCUUCAUUUGUAAUACAUUUUGGUAUUUGCUUAUUGGUUUAACUUUGAAUUGGAUUAUAAUUAAUUACAUAUUUAGCAUAACCCCGUAUAAAAUAUUACCAUUAUUGUCUAUUCAUUAUCUAUAUUUUAUAUCUAUCUAUAUCUAGGUAGAGAUAUACAUCUUAGGACUAUAUCUAUCUCUAUACAUAAUAUAUAUCAAUUAAUAAUGAUAAUAUUUUACAAACAUAUGAAUACACACAGUAGAUAAUGAGAGGGUAAUGUUAUUUAAUAAAAGGAUGAACUCUGUAUUUCAGUCAGUUUUGCAUUUAUUUCAAAGGAUCUUCAUAACAUUAAUGCACACGGUCAUCGGUAUCAACGUACAAAACAGCGGUGUGGGUCUGGCAAAACCACCAUCAAGGCUUAAAGAAAAGGAUUUUACACAAACAGAAAAGCACCAGACACACCUCCAACCCCAGCCCUCCACCCCCCCCCCCCCCCCCCCCCCCCCCCCCGCCCGCCACCCACCCGCCAGAAACAACGGGCAUAAAAACCAAACACAAGUUCACAAGACGCUCCCGAAGUCUCCCCAAACACAACAUCUCUGACCGCUACACCUGUGUAAUGACGCUAGCUUUUAAAAAA